Molecule: ribosomal RNA, 207 nt
Filed under: uncultured bacterium
Lineage: Bacteria
Description: partial 16S ribosomal RNA
Rfam family: Bacterial small subunit ribosomal RNA
Source: RNAcentral
CGCGCAGGCGGUCGAUCAAGUCGAGUGUGAAAGCCCCCGGCUCAACUGGGGAGGGUCAUUCGAAACUGGUCGACUCGAAGGCAGGAGAGGGUAGUGGAAUUCCCGGUGUAGUGGUGAAAUGCGUAGAUAUCGGGAGGAACACCAGUGGCGAAGGCGACUACCUGGCCUGUUCUUGACGCUGAGGCGCGAAAGCUAGGGGAGCAAACG